UACGGAGGAUGCGAGCGUUAUCCGGAUUUAUUGGGUUUAAAGGGUGCGUAGGCGGACGCUUAAGUCAGCGGUAAAAUUGCGGGGCUCAACCUCGUCGAGCCGUUGAAACUGGGUGCCUUGAGUGGGCGAGAAGUACGCGGAAUGCGCGGUGUAGCGGUGAAAUGCAUAGAUAUCACGCAGAACUCCGAUUGCGAAGGCAGCAUACCGGCGCCCUACUGACGCUGAGGCACGAAAGCGUGGGUAUCGAACAGG
This 252-nucleotide ribosomal RNA is filed under the name uncultured bacterium. RNAcentral's name for it is "partial 16S ribosomal RNA". It matches the Rfam family "Bacterial small subunit ribosomal RNA", at positions 524 to 776 of the family's 1533-position model. The record is from RNAcentral.